AUACCUGCACCCUGGGAGGAAUUCACAGUGGUGGAUCUUGGGCUUGGGUCUCCCUCACGGACCCCUCUCCAGUGACUCUACACACGGCUGUUAUUAAAUAAGAGACUGAUUUACCUGGCAAGGCAGGAACCUGAAGCUCUCUUCCUCGAAGGGCUGAUCAGAUACCGUGGGAAUCCUAGAUACACAAAUAGGCAGCCCGACUGCCCAUCACGUCUUCUCACUUGAGCGAGAAAUAAUGGAGAGAACACCUACUCUGUGCCAGCCUCUGUGCCAAAUAAUGGCCAAAAAGAGACAACCGAAAGAGCAGAGAAAUUGCACCUUUUGGAAGGGUAAGGACUUGAGGACCCCAGCGUCACCACUUUCACAGCUCAAAGAGCCUCCGCAAACUCCAGCAUCCACUCACAGCAUCCUCCCUGGCCACACACGCCCCUCAGCGAGUCCUGCAACCACUAAGACUGGUCUUCCACUCCGCCGCCACCAGAUGGCAGCACAAAGCCCACUGACUGCUGGGCCUAAGACCAAAUGGCAACACAAGCAUCUUCCUCUGCACAGUUCCUCAGCUUCUCUGUAGAGAUAAAUGAAACCUACAGACAUCAGGCAUAAUAAAUUGAACCAGCAAUACCUGGCA
This 628-nucleotide long non-coding RNA is filed under the name Vulpes vulpes (red fox). RNAcentral's name for it is "lncRNA (ENSVVUG00000002994.1)". The record is from RNAcentral. Lineage: Eukaryota; Metazoa; Chordata; Mammalia; Carnivora; Canidae.